This is a long non-coding RNA of Sinocyclocheilus anshuiensis, 81 nucleotides long. RefSeq lists it as uncharacterized. The record is from RefSeq and is a predicted model, not a curated record. Lineage: Eukaryota; Metazoa; Chordata; Actinopteri; Cypriniformes; Cyprinidae. The transcript is spliced from 3 exons.
AAAAAAAGUGAAGGUCUAUACCAGGGGUGGCGAACUCCGGUCCUGGCGAGCCGCAGCCAUGCAGAGUUCAGCUCCCACCCU